AUAAUGAUACUCCCGCCUUGAACGCGUCACAGCAUUGGGCGGCCUCACAGAAGGUGGGGAGGGUGAGAACCCUGUGG
Molecule: non-coding RNA, 77 nt
Organism: Subdoligranulum sp. 4_3_54A2FAA
Lineage: Bacteria; Bacillati; Bacillota; Clostridia; Eubacteriales; Oscillospiraceae
Source: Rfam